RNAcentral lists this unclassified non-coding RNA (3357 nucleotides) under Helicoverpa zea (corn earworm). RNAcentral describes it as "uncharacterized LOC124632214, transcript variant X1". The record is from RNAcentral. Lineage: Eukaryota; Metazoa; Arthropoda; Insecta; Lepidoptera; Noctuidae.
UUUUUUUUUUUAAUACCAUAGACAGUUUGAGACUGCUGCUGGCUGUCUGCAGAAAACGAAAAAGGCUGAAAAAAUAUUUUAGUUUUAUUAUUCAGGAAGCGUGCCAUAAUGUUAUGUUAAAGAUUAAGACUAUCAGAACUGGAAAUGGCUUUCGUGGAGAAUAUUCCACCGCUUCACGCGGACUCUGAGAUGGAAGAAGGCGAAAUCGUGGAUGAUUUAUCAGAUAUUUCAUCAGAGGAAGAGUUUCUGUUGCGUCAGAGACUGCAAGUACUAGAAAAUUACAACAAUGUCCUUGAACGUAAGAAAGCUAAACGAUCUUCCAUAGGGCCAGGUAACAAACAUAGAAAGGAUGAUGCAUUAUUAGACUUAUCAGAAAUAUCAGCGACUGAACUAGAAGACUAUUAUUCUCAUGCACCACAAAAACCUAAAGUUCAAAAACGUCAAAAGAUACAUCAUAGACAAAAAAGAAAAAAAGUUGAGCCAAUUUUAACUUCCAUAAAGACUAGAGAAUACAAGAGAAAAAAUCAUUACACCAAAAAGAAAUUAGAAGUAAAAAUUAUUAGUGAAUCAAGUGAGGAAUCUGAAGAUGAAUACAGAAAUAGACGAAGAAAGUUGGCUAAUGCCGUAGUAGUAAACAAAAAUCCAAGCAAAAAUGACAAAACAUCAUUGAGUGAAAGACUUCAAAAAAUGCUUAGUGGUGUCAAUCCAGAACCAAUGAAGGUCAUCCCAGCAGAAAAAACGGUAAAUAACAAAAAUGGCACCAUUUUAGAACAAACCGAAUUAUCACCCAUCUCCACACUAGAUGCUGAAGAGCAAAACCAAGAAAAAACAAGUUCAUGUGAAUUAAUAGACCUAUGUACUGAUGAAGAUAGCAAAACUAUGACAACAAUUUUACCACAGGAUACUGUAGAUUCGGUUAAUAAAGACAUUAAAAACAAUGAGGAUGCAAAGAAAGAAUCUGAUAGGGAAAACAUUUCAGAAAAAGAUUCUGAUGAAGAUCUAGAAAUGCUUCGGCAACAUGCACUCAAAACUAAAACUGCCAAAGCAAAUUCAGUUCCAAAUGAAGUACAACCUGAAAACAAAAUGUCUGAGGAUGAAGAUAGUGAUACUGCAGAACUGAGAUUGAUCUGUCUUAAAUCUGCACUACUUAAGAAAGCUAUUGAAAGGAAACAAAAGCAAAAAUUGAAAAAGAAGUUAUCCCAAUCCCAAUCAACCAACUUUCCAGAUGACUUACUUAAUUCAAAUAACAAUACAGAUAUAGAAUCUGUAGAUAUGGAUAUUGGGUCAGAUGCUGAUGACAAACCCAAAGAAGAUAAUGAUGGAAGUGCCAAAAUUAAUGUUAUAGAAGAAAAUAGCACGCCAGAGGCAACAAAAGCUUUAGAAAAAGACAUUCCUAAACAAAAGGUUCCUGAUGCAGAUGAACUUGAAGAUGAUGAAGACUUGUUGCGUGCUAAACUGCUGACUUCCCUUAGCAAAAAUCUACCUAAUCUGGUAAAUCCUAAUAUAAUUGAUGCUUUAGAGAGCAUUCAAGAACCAAGACCUAUUUCACCUAAGCCACCCCAAAUAAAACCUGUUGUACCUGCUGUUGUAGUACCUGAAGAAAAGAGAUUUAUUAUUACUGUUGGUGAGUCUGAUUCAGAGGGUGAACAUGAAGCUACUAAGAAUUUAACUAAAAUGCAUAUGAAACUAUCAGAGCAGAUAGACUUCCAGCAGAGACUAGAUGUAUUUUUGAAAAGUACUAGAAUGGAAGUCGAGAAGACUAGGUUGCCAGACGUCGUUCAGCAACCAGCUCCCGUGAAGAAAAAUGAGAAGUUUGUUGCUAAGGCUGUUAAACAUUUGCCAAAGUCGGAGCAAAUUGAGUACAAAAAUCUCGUGAAAAGAAUGGCAGAGUUAGAAAAGAUAAAACAAGCUAGGCAGACAACAAUCAAUCUAAGCAAUAAAGUUUCUGUACCAAACAAAGAUACGUUAAAACCACGAAAUACAGCUAUUGAUGCAACAAAGCUGUCUGCUAUAAAUAACUUGGAAGAAAAGAUACAAAAUUCAAGAAAACACAUAGCGGAGGAAUCUGCCAAGAUGUUAAAGUUAAAAGAGGAAGGUGUAAAAUUAUCCCAAAGAUAUAAAAUAGUAGCUACAGAACUUCGUAAUAUCAAGACUGCCAUUACAUUGAACAAGAGACAAACAAGAUCUGUGCAAAAUUGUUUAACCAAAAUACGAUUGCACCAUCAAAUGUUAUUGAAAAGCUCAAUGUCUUCCGCACAUUCCAAAAUCAACGGCAAUUUGCCUCCACUAAAUAGGAUAAAUACGAAAUUGCAAAAAGAGAAUAAUCCUAUGAAAGAAGAUCAGAAAACAACUAUAGUCAACAAAAAUAUUAAAAUUAUUUCAAAAGAAAACAAUUUAGGUAAAGAGGAACCUAAAAACGUGGUACAUAAACCUGUUAAAGAUAGUAAUCCAAGUACAGAAGAAAUUAAGAAUUCUUUAGUAAAUAAACCUACAAUAGAGACCAAUCCUCUAAGAGAAGAAAUUGGGGAUCCUGUAGUACAUAAACCAAUUAAAGAUCCCAGUCUGGUGAAAGAACCUGCUAAUCCAGCAAGGAUAGUAAAGGUAGUUAAACCACCAGUCGUAAUGCAACAGUCUAAACUAUCUGUGCAGCUUGAUGUUACUAGUAAUAAAAAAGUUAUUACAGUGACGGACUGUAAAACUGAUGUGCAUAGUACCACGUUGUUUGUGGAUAACAAAAAUAUCAAUGAGGAUUUAAUCGAAAACCAGAGGCUAUCAAGUCAUCCACUCGUGGAAAAAGGUGGAGGGAAUAAAGAAAUAACAACUGAUUUUAGAAGACUUGAGAAUGAUGAUUACAGAUCACCUUUAGACGCUUUUGGGAGUUCAACUUGGGAGGGCGACCCGAACGCGAUCCUCUGCCCCUUCGAAGUCGGCGGCGACUGCAAGGACGCCGACUGCAUUUACCUCCACACCCCAUCCCGGUCUACCUGACACCCCACCUCACUUGCACAGUUCCGCCUAGACACAGUUACACUAAAAUGAGCUAUCCUAUCCCAUCCCCACUCCCAGAGAAGGCACAGGAUUCUACAACGAUGUGUAAAUUGGCGAGAGCUCGUGUUCCUGCGUCUCUUCGGCAAUGGUGGUAAGUUUCGAGUAACUUUAUAAUAGUGCAUUUGUAGUGCUCUGGACACGUUACAAGUUUACAACACUACGGGACCCCCAAGCUCUGGUAAAGUGUUUUGUGUUACGUUCAAUAUAUCAACUUUAUACAUACUAUUAUUUUUUUCUAUAUUAUUGAUUUUAAAAACAUUGUACACAUGUAAAAAGUUAUUAAUAAAUGAUAAUAUUUAAAAUAUUGUA